UACGUAGGGUGCAAGCGUUAUCCGGAAUUAUUGGCGUAAAGAGCUCGUAGGCGGUCUGUCGCGUCUGCUGUGAAAACUGGGGGCUCAACCCCCAGCCUGCAGUGGGUGACGGGCAGACUAGAGUGCGGUAGGGGAGAUUGGAACUCCUGGUGUAGCGGUGGAAUGCGCAGAUAUCAGGAGGAACACCAAUAGCGAAGGCAGCUCGCUGGGACGGUAUUGACGCUAAGGCGCGAAAGCGU
RNAcentral lists this ribosomal RNA (239 nucleotides) under uncultured bacterium. RNAcentral's name for it is "partial 16S ribosomal RNA". It matches the Rfam family "Bacterial small subunit ribosomal RNA", at positions 524 to 762 of the family's 1533-position model. The record is from RNAcentral.